ACCCUGUCGUUCACAAUAGGCUUUCAUUAGUUUACUAAGUGGUGUAUGCCUCUUAAUCUUAAACUACACCACAGAACCAUCCUGCCCCACCACCUUUAAGUUAAUAUGAUCGUUGUUCUCAGUCUUGACUCCUUCCUUAGGUUUCUCGUCAGCCAUGGCAAGCGCUGGAGUCUCCUCAUCUGCUGCUUCACAAAAAAGGCACCGGGUCGCACUGCAGCAAGUACUCUUAACCAUAUCGCCAGUCCCCUAAAGAGAUUUACUUAAAAUUAAAAAACACUGCACUUUAAAAACCUUUGAGCAUCUUUACCUUGGAUCACUCAGUUCCGGGCAUCAUUCAGGCAACCACUGCUGGUAGCCUCAGAUAUAGCCAUAGCCCUGAUAACUGUGGCAGUCAAAAAAUCUGCACACUCGAGGCAAGCAGAUCUCUAUGAGUUUGGGGCCAGAUUGGUCUACACAGUGAGUUCCAGGCCAGCCAAGGCUACAUAGUAAGACCCUCCCUCAAAAAAGAAAAGAAAAGGAAUCUGCACAAACAGACUUAAGAGGCUGGACCCCUUGCAGCCAAGAAAGGCUAGAUUCAUUCUUAAGGUACCUCUGAGUCUUCUUUUCACGGAUCUGAGUAAAGCCACACACUGGUGCCAUCGACACACUGCGACAUUUAUUAUUUAAAAUUAUUAUUUUAAAUUUAAAUAUAAUUUAUCAUAUUCUUCCCAUCCCCCAAGUCCUUCCAGACCCUUUACCCCUCCCUACCCACAAAACUUGGAGUUCUUUCACAAAAAAACAAACAAACAAAACCCUAUAAAACAAAGCCCCCCAAAACAAGAAAAUAAAAUAAAAUACCACCCCAAAGCAAAACAGAAACAAAAAAACAAAACCCACCAAACUAUAACCAAACAAAAGCAUACAAAAAAAAUUGUGGAGUACAUUAUAUGUUGGUCAACUACUCCUGAACAUGAGACCUGGCCUGGAGUAAUUGAUGUACCCAUUGUCACUCUAUUGAAGAAAACUGAUUUCCCUCUCUUAGCGGGUAUAAAUGACACUUCAGUUGUUAACCUUUUACUCUAGUGGCCAGGUUUUAUUCAUUCAUUCAUCAUUAAUCCAUUGAUUUUUUACAUUUUUAAAAAUGGAACAAAAUAAAAUAUGAGAUAAAACAAAAACUAUCACAUUGAAGUUGGACAGACAAACCAACAGAAGAAAAGAGCCCAAGAGAAGGCACAAGAAUCAGAGACCAUACAUUAGCACCUGAGGAAUCCAUAAAAAUACUAUAAACUAGGAGCACAGAGGACCUGGUGCAGACCUGUGCAGGCUCUGUGCAUGCUGCUUCAGUCUCUGUGAGUUCAUAUGAACUUUGUUCAUGUUGAUUUAAAAGGUCUUAUUUUCUUGGUGUCCUCCAUCCCUUCUGGCUCUUCUUCCACAGGAUUGCCUGAGCUCUGAUGGGAGGGAUUUAAUGGAGACAUUCUGUUUUAGGUUGUAUGUUCCAAGGUCUCUUACUCUUUGCAUAAUGUCUGGCUAUGGAUUUCUACAUUUGUAACCAUCUGCUGCAGAAGGAGUAUUCUCUGAUGAUGGCUGAACAAGGCACUGAUCUAUAUGUAUAAUAGAAUACCGUUACGAGUUGUUUUUUCAUUAUGUAAUUUUUUUUCUUUUUUUAGACCAGUAGUUAUUUGGUUUUACCCUAGGUCACUGGACUAUCUAUCUUUGGUCACCCAAGCAGUGAUGGAUAAGGGUUCCAUCUUGUGGGGUUGGCCUUAAGUCAAAUCAGGCAUUGGUUACUCCCACAAGCUUUGAGCCACCAUUGACCUAGCAUAUCUUGCGGGUAGUACACCAUUGUAGAUAAAGGGUUUGUGGCUGGCUUGCUGAUGGUGUUUCUCUUAUGAUAGUUUGUGCGGAGUGCCUUCCUGUACCAAAGAUCCUAGAACAUAGGGAUCAAAGGUCCUACCUUUCUUAACACCUUUGGAGUUAGUGUUCACCACAUGAACUGCAAAGAUCAACAUCCACAUCAGGUCCUGAGCAAGCUGAUUUGCUUUCCUAAGGAUUCAGUGAGAAUCAAUAUCCAUGUUUUUGUAUCAUUGUUGCUAACUUCCCAGAACCUCUUACCUACAGAAGUGUGUAUUGUGCCGUAUAUUUGUUAUUUUUUUUGCAGGGAAAUUUUGGUCUCAUAGAAACAUUGAACAAAUGUACAGAAAAAUGACCUCAAGUUCCUUCUCCCCUAAAGCACCUUUUCUUAGUAGAAAUGUGCAUCAGUUGGCACUUUUGUUGUAACGGAUGAGUUGUUAAUGAUACCAAGGCUGUUUUGAAUAUAAAUUAAACAGUUUUACUUUGAACUAUUUGUGUGGUUCAAACUUGCAAAUGUAGAGAAUGGAAGGCAGUGAAGAGCAGUCCACCCUUUGCAGUGGAGGUCAUCCUCAUGUGCUGUUCACAUGUAACUAGCACACAACACACAAGUGUUCUUUCUUACUGAAAUGGUGUCACUCUAUGGCCAAUUAUUGUCUUUCAAACAAAACCACUUCACCUUAGGAUUAUGUUGAACAGUUUCUCUGCCUUCUCCACCAUGCUGUAUCCUUUUUUCCAGGACACCAAUCUUAAACUUCCUCACUGAAAGGGAGGACAGUGAAGGCUGCGUCGGUUUUUCUGGCACCCUGUAUGUGAGGUUGCAUCUGGCCACCCUUGUCUUCCACAUGAUUCUGCUCCUUUCCAGGCAGCCUUGUGCUUUGGGCUUUUAAUAACUAAAACUAAUGAAAUGCUGGAAUUACCGGGCAAUUUAAAUAUUAUUCAUCAUCAAAAGCCCUGCACCAAAUGGGUCAUGGAUGUCAAAAUGAGACCUGAUACUCUGAAAAUGCCAAAGGACACGGUAGAGAAAAUACUCCCACUUCUAAACACAGGAAAACUGAAAGCCCAACCUGCACCGAUUAGGAAGAGAACCUUCAUCCAGUGACUGAAGGAAGCAGAUGCAGGGCAGUGGAGUGCUCUCCUCACCUUGGAUUUUCCAGUCCCGGAGGGUGCUGCAGCCACCCCAUCUUAAACAGGACCGUGAAAAAGAAAUCGUCACAAGAGUUCAACCAAAAGAGCUUGUAACAAGGAAGAGGUCCUUCAGGACCAAGAACCAGGGACCGUCGCCCUGGCACGUGCCAGCACCGGGCUCUACUCUGAGCGCAGAGGCGGGGACAGCAUGCUGGCCGUGCCCUCCCCCUCCUAGAGUGAUGCAGACCUGCGGGGCAGAGCGACACCACUAUUACCUCCAACGUCACAGUGACCCGGGGACACCGCUGUCAUACAGUGUCUGGGCUGCUCCGCCUCUGAGGCUGCCAGAGCAGAUCAAGGAUCCUCCUAAGGAAAUGCCUCCCAGGUUUCCAAGGCUACACGGAGAGGCACUUCCUCUUCCUCCUCAGCCUCCAAGGAAGUUAGUUCCCUGUGUGCGGGUCCCUGACCCUCCCCUGCAGCACUCAGAGCACUGCCCUGGGUGGAGUGAGGCAUUUGAACACAGGUGUUCGUUGCACAGCAAGCAACUGGAUUCCUUCUCUCUCGCUUCUCUGGUUCUUCAGUUUUACAGUGGAAUGAAUGCCUUUUGUUAGCAAAUUGUCAUGUGCUGUUUAACCUCACUGAAGCUGGCUCCAGAGAUUUCUUGGUACCAGAAAGCAUCCAGAGAUGGAGGAAAACCAGUAGUCCUUCCCAGCUGUGACACCUGUGAACCUGACCAUCCAGCAUAGCAUGACAACAGAAAUGAAGUUGUGGCAUGUGUACCUUGGACUAAAUUGAACUCACUGGAUUUAAGACCUGCUCAACAAGAGGGCAACCAUGUUGCUACAGGAAACAAACCUAACUGCUCAGUGCUAGUGAGGUCAUGGUUAAUGGUGGAGAAUUUACAGCCAUGAAUUUGCUAAAGCAGCAUCAUCCCUAACAACAAUCUGUAAACAUUUGUCUUUAUGCCCACAGAUAAGUGUGGUCCUUACCGCUCAUCAAGACAACUUUUCUUUGCAACAUACCGAGACCACUACAGAAAAAUAUAACCAAUCAAUAUGCAGAGUUAUAGAGCUCAGUUCCAAUAGAGAAAUGUAUAAAAUACUCCCACAUCUAAGGCUCAGGCCAAUUUGAGGAAGAGGGGGGUGGAAAGAUUGUAAGAGCUAGAGAUCAGGAAGUUUGCUGUGAGGUUGUGUCUCCUAGUGUGGUCAGAAGCUAUGCCCAUAAAUUCUCACCAACAUGACUGCUCAAGAAUGAACAAUGAGGACACCAAUGGCCAGGCGAACAUGGGCAGAGAAGAGCCCAUGAGGCCUCAACCCCACAUAAAAAACUACAGGCAACUGAGGAAAGCUGGGAAUGGAGAGAGCACACCAGUCUCUGGUCUAGUACCAAAUAGUCAGCCCUGAAAACAUCCAUACAAGUAACAGGGACUGAAGACGUUAUAUUUAGAAAUAUGCAUGUAUAUAUGUAUAUACAUAUUUGCAUGCAAUAAUAGUUAAUGAAAAAAGAAGCCAUGAAUUUGGUGGAGAACAGGAAAGGUUAUAUUGGAAGGGAUUCAAGGGAGAAAAAGAAGGGAGAAAUGUUGUAAUUACUGUUUACUUCCCAGGCCAGGGAGGCUAAAUCUCUUCAGAUUGAAAGUUCUGUGAAAAGAUCUACAAGGGAUUACCAGGGGACUCCAGACUUAAGAGUGGUAUGAACAAAGCACUUCCCAUUUUUAUUCCUAAAGCAAGGGAAACGUGAGUUGACUUUUGCAGUUAACCUAAGCAAAUAGAAGGGCAUUGAGGGAAUUCAGCUGGUGUUAUGUCUUAUCAUCUUUGGUCAUGUGAAAAGAGCAAAAAAUAUGUCAUGUCGUUCCAUUCAUGUCCUUGCUUUCAAGUGCAUUCACUUAUGGUUUAUACAUUUUCUUCUAGAAGGCUACCUUGUGGAAAGAACAUUCUGUGCUCCAUCAUAAUUCACUGUUAAAUAUACAACUUUUUUUUUAAACAUAGGCUCCUGAUAUUAUAAUUUCAGAAAGAAUUACAAAUGGCUAGUAAACUAUUUUUUUUUUUUUUUUUUUUUUACAUACGGUCUCUCUAUGUGCCUCUUGACCAUCCUGGCACUCACCAUGUGCCGACCAGGCUUGGCCUGCAACUCACAGAAGCCACUUUCCUCUGGCUUCCAUGUGCAGGGAUUAAAGUUGUGCAUCCCACUCAGCUAAAAAACACUUUGAAAAAUAUUCACUGUCCUUGGCUGUGAAGGAAACACAGAUUAACACUACUUCAGAAUUCCAUCACUCCAGGCAGAAUGGCUAUGAUCAGGAAUACAAGUGACAAGCAAUGCUGAUGUGGAUGUACAGAAAGGAACACUCUUAUGCACUGUGCGUGGAAGCAUAAACUAGUACAGACACUAUGAAAUCAGGCUGGACUCACGAACGUCCCCGUAGGCUCCCUAGUUGAACACUUGGUUCCCAUUUGGUGACACUGUUUAGGGAAAUUGUAAAAGGUGAAACCUUGUAGGAGGAUGUAUGUCACAAAGGAUGAGCUUGGAGCACCAAUGGCCUUGCUUCACUUCCAGCUCACACACUCUGCUUUAUUUCUGCUUUUGAAGAUAAAACUAUACAGUCAAUAUAAAUUCUUUCAUAAACUGUUAUUAGUCAGAGUAGCUUCCCAGAGCAAGUGAGGUCAUGGACCUUAGAAAAGAAUCUACCAGCACAACUUUUCUAGACUAGCAUAAUUCCUUACUACACUUGAAAUCUUAUCAUUAUACCCACAGAUAAGUGAAGCUACCAUUCCUCAUCUAAGACCUUUCUCUUUACAGAAAAUGGAGACCAUCACAGGAAACCACAACUGGACACAAUGCGGAAAUAAACCAGUGGGUCAUGGGGAGACCAGUACCAAUGUAUACAUCUACAUCACUGCUCCUGUGUCUCUGGUCAGGUUACAGUCCAUCAUGAAGGGAAGUCAGGACAGAAAUGCAGACAGAGACCUGGAGGCAGGAACUGAAGCAGAGGCCAUGAAGGAACACUGCUGACUGCCUUGCUCCCCAUGGCUUGCCCAACUUGCUGUCUUAUAGCACCCCAAAACACCAGUGCAGGGGUGGCCCUGCCCACAGUGAGCUGAACCUUCCCACAUAGAGCAUUUGUUAUUCAAGAAAAUGCUCCACAGGCUUACCUAUAGGCCAAUCUGAUAGAGGCAUUUUCUCAUCUAAUGUUUCCUCUAACAAUUGACCCUACCUGUAUCAAGUUGAAAACAACAACAACUACAACAAAAGAAAACACAGCACAUUGGGCAUCGUCUGCACAUGACCAUAGCAUUUUUUAUGUAAAUCCUGGAGAUCCAAACUCGGGUCCCUGUGCUUUCUCAGCAGGCAGCAUACUGACAGCCAUCUUCCUAUCCUGAUCUGGAUUGUGCUGUGGGUACUUUGAAACCACCUAGGGACAUUGACAUACGCAUUCCCACUGUUGUCCACCACAGUAAUCAUGUGGAGUGUGCAGAAGGAUUCCCAUGUCACCAACUUAAAAAGUUAUGGUCCUUUAACUCAUGAACUGCCAUUUCUGCAUCUCUUGGCUUUCUUGGUUUUGAAGCUACAUGUUUAAUUUCUUACCCAUUAUUUACAUUUCUUUGAAU
This is a non-coding RNA of Peromyscus maniculatus bairdii (prairie deer mouse), 6557 nucleotides long. The record is from RefSeq and is a predicted model, not a curated record. NCBI's taxonomy places the organism in Eukaryota, Metazoa, Chordata, Mammalia, Rodentia, Cricetidae.